GACGAACGCUGGCGGCGUGCUUAACACAUGCAAGUCGAACGGAAAGGCCCUGCUUGCAGGGUCCUCGAGUGGCGAACGGGUGAGUAACACGUGGGUGAUCUGCCCUUCACUUCGGGAUAAGCCUGGGAAACUGGGUCUAAUACCGGAUAGGAGCCAUUUUUAGUGUGAUGGUUGGAAAGUUUUUUCGGUGUAGGAUGAGCUCGCGGCCUAUCAGCUUGUUGGUGGGGUAAUGGCCUACCAAGGCGGCGACGGGUAGCCGGCCUGAGAGGGUGGACGGCCACAUUGGGACUGAGAUACGGCCCAGACUCCUACGGGAGGCAGCAGUGGGGAAUAUUGCACAAUGGGCGGAAGCCUGAUGCAGCGACGCCGCGUGGGGGAUGACGGCCUUCGGGUUGUAAACUCCUUUCGCUAGGGACGAAGCUUUUGUGACGGUACCUAGAUAAGAAGCACCGGCUAACUACGUG
RNAcentral lists this ribosomal RNA (464 nucleotides) under uncultured bacterium. Its description in RNAcentral is "partial 16S ribosomal RNA". It matches the Rfam family "Bacterial small subunit ribosomal RNA", at positions 28 to 507 of the family's 1533-position model. The record is from RNAcentral.